Molecule: microRNA precursor, 72 nt
Filed under: Mustela putorius furo (domestic ferret)
Lineage: Eukaryota; Metazoa; Chordata; Mammalia; Carnivora; Mustelidae
Description: miRNA (ENSMPUG00000022144.1)
Source: RNAcentral
CCGCGGCCGUCGGGCCCUCGGCGCCGGCCCGUUAGUUGCCCUGGCCGGGAGCCGGCCAGGCCCGCGGGGUGC